RNAcentral lists this ribosomal RNA (315 nucleotides) under uncultured bacterium. Its description in RNAcentral is "bacterial SSU rRNA". It matches the Rfam family "Bacterial small subunit ribosomal RNA", at positions 28 to 346 of the family's 1533-position model. The record is from RNAcentral.
GACGAACGCUGGCGGCGUGCUUAACACAUGCAAGUCGAGCGGUAAGGCCCUUUCGGGGGUACACGAGCGGCGAACGGGUGAGUAACACGUGGGUGACCUGCCCUCAGCUCUGGGAUAAGCCUGGGAAACCGGGUCUAAUACCGGAUAUGACUCCAUGACGCAUGUUAUGGGGUGGAAAGCCUUGUGCGGCUGAGGAUGGGCCCGCGGCCUAUCAGCUUGUUGGUGGGUGAUGGCCUACCAAGGCGACGACGGUAGCCGGCCUGAGAGGGCGACCGGCCACACUGGGACUGAGACACGGCCCAGACUCCUACGGGA